RNAcentral lists this long non-coding RNA (668 nucleotides) under Numida meleagris (helmeted guineafowl). Its description in RNAcentral is "lncRNA (ENSNMEG00000017752.1)". Lineage: Eukaryota; Metazoa; Chordata; Aves; Galliformes; Numididae. The record is from RNAcentral.
GGUUGCUUCAGCUCCUCGCAGGGGACUUCGUGAGGCUUGAUGAUCUUGCUUUGAGAUUCAAGAAGGGAAAGCACUGAAGGAAUGUAAUGCUGUGUUUUCUCACAUGCUUCUGAAUACCUAGGUCUGAAGAAGAAACACAAAGCAGGGCCAGAGGGGACUGCUGUGGGAGGCUUCUGCAAUCUGGCUGCCUUCUAGCCCAGCAUUCCACUUUCUGCCUUCGACCUGCCGUGCAGAAAUGAAGUCAGCCUCACGCUCUUCUGCCAAAGCUGAGCCUGUUGAGAGCACCAAUUACAGUGAAAAACCUCGAACUCUUGCAGAGGGAACCAGUUUGCUUUUUGAUAUGAUGGAGCCAGGAAGUCACUAACUUGCUUUAUUCCUUUCGAUGUCCUGACCCUGCCAAGCAGGAAUCCCAGGCUAAUCUCACCUGCUCAGGAGACUCAGAGUGCCAGAGCAUCACUGGAAGCUGUGAAAGCAGGAAGCCCCAUUGAGCACAGUGCUUCAGGAAGUACACACAGGGUGCCAGCACAUCCACCGCCUCAGAGAACAGCAACAGAAUGGUUUUAUGUCUAUUCAUCUCUAAGCCUUUGCUUACAUGAAGAUUCAGAUGGACAUAUCAUUUCUCUAUCUCUAACCUAAAAUUCUCCAGGGUGAUUGUUCAGCUUCUAAAA